Molecule: long non-coding RNA, 1321 nt
Filed under: Brassica napus (rape)
Lineage: Eukaryota; Viridiplantae; Streptophyta; Magnoliopsida; Brassicales; Brassicaceae
Description: long non-coding RNA (BNAP_LNC020680)
Source: RNAcentral
GUCGUCGUAGAGUCGCAUGCGAGAGUGAGGGAGUGAUUUGUGGAGCUUUCGAUGGUGAACAGAGACGGAUCUCGAAGAAGAGGUGGAAUUGGGUUGAGAGAGAAAGAGAGGGAACACCAUGGGAGGAGAUUGGAGGACGAUGUUUUCACCAGCCGCGUGUGUAUAGAUUGGAAGAGAUUGAUAGAUUAUUAGGAGCGAGACUGUCGCGCCGAUUGACGCCAGCGCCAUAUCUAAUCGCCGAUGGAUGAGUGAGUGAAGCUGCGAGUCAAACGUCAGAUCUACGGGAACGAAAGGCUACUUUUCCUUUGAAUACAAAACCAGCAACGACGCCACGCCAUAUGUAAACCACAAACGACGUAGUUUUUUAUCUAAUGUCUUUUUCUUUUCUCUUUCAAUUUUUUUACCACAACUAAACUAAAUUUAACGUUUAACCAUAUGCAAAAUCCAGUUAUUUUAUAUUUUUAAUUUUUAUAAUUGGAACAAAUUUAAGGUUGAUUAUCUAAUAAAUAAAAAUCUCCACUAUUAUUGUUUCCAAACAAUUCUCAUUUAUAUUGUUAUUCAUGUUUUCAAACAUUAACAAAAAGUACUUGAGUUUUAAUAAUAUCGAUGGAAACAAAAUUAAAAAUAUAACCAGAUAACUUAGUGAAUAUAACAAGUAACCAUGUUUAUACUUAACCAUGUUUAUACUGUAUACGAAUGGUGUUGUGGAAAUUGUUGCCUCUUUUAUUCAACAUAUUUUGUCUGUUCUAAAUGCAUAGUGAUGCACUAUCAUAAAAGUAUAUAAAUUCACACAAAAUAAGUAAUCAAGAAAACAUAAAUAAAAUUUUCUAAAGUUUAUCAGAUUCAUGAAUGUUGUUAGGAAGAAAAUCUGAAUAAUAAAUACAAAUAUUAUUUACUAAAAAGCCGAAUAAUGAAUACAUUUUUGAAGAUACAUUAAGUUGACUAGCUUCAUAAAUAACAUUAUUAUAUUAUUAUACAAUAUAAAUCAUACCAAAAGAAUCGUCGUGUAAUACCUGCGAAUUUUGAUGAUACAAUCAGAUCGGUAAUCGGCGUUGAAGGGAAGGGAAGGGAUUGACUUACCCGUUGAGGAGAAGGUCGUCGUAGAGUCGCAUGCGAGAGUGAGGGAGUGAUUUGUGGAGCUUUCGAUGGUGAACAGAGACGGAUCUCGAAGAAGAGGUGGAAUUGGGUUGAGAGAGAAAGAGAGGGAACACCAUGGGAGGAGAUUGGAGGACGAUGUUUUCACCAGCCGCGUGUGUAUAGAUUGGAAGAGAUUGAUAGAUUAUUAGGAGCGAGACUGUCGCGCCGAUUGACGCCAGCGCCA